This 2678-nucleotide long non-coding RNA is filed under the name Papio anubis (olive baboon). Its description in RNAcentral is "lncRNA (ENSPANG00000047499.1)". Lineage: Eukaryota; Metazoa; Chordata; Mammalia; Primates; Cercopithecidae. The record is from RNAcentral.
AUGAGUCUAACCAAAAGAAAUCUUCAACUUAUUAGCAGAACAAGUUUCUUAAGUUUUCAUCUACGGAGAGAACUCCCAAAUAAAAUUUGGGACUCUUUCUUCCCAAAGCAUGUUUUAAAAUGCAACCAGACUAAACAAUGGAGACCACAGGAACGAUCCUCUCCUCUCCAGGAUAAGAGUGUUCGUAACUACAUGAAGAUUCAAAUGUUGAAGAACAAAUGGCACAGAGAUGAGGAUGCAUUUAAAUAUGAGCCUAUGUUUAUUCUAUUUCACUUUUCUGCAGCUCUAAGACAUGUUCCUCACCAGCCAGUCUUGUAUCACCCCAUUGAGAAAAACACAUUUUAAACCAUCAGAGUGAUGACUUUUGGAUAAUGUACUUUUCUGGAUAUUUGCCAAGAAUUUGAGAUGUAACAAAUAAACAUUCAUCUUCAGUUUUUGAUAGAAUUGGAUUGGGGCCAACAAACUAUAGCCCAAGUCAAGUGUCUUCAGUGAUGCUGCACCAAUGAUGUCAUGAUUGGAGCCAAGAUUAGGAGACCUCCCAGGAUCUCAGUUGUUACACUCACUAAUUCCUUAGUUAAUCUUACUGCUUUCUUCCCACUCUCUGCCAAUUGAUGAAAAAUCAGAAUAUUGCCUAGACUAAUGGGAAUGUGGUAAUAUCUGGCUCUGUAGAUGGAGAGUGGAAGAAAGGGAGGCUUAAUCUCCAUGAUCUUCUAGUCCCUUGCUGCAGGUGCGCAAAGUCAAACAGAGGUACUGACUGUCCCAGACUGACCCUAGUUGGCUGCAUCCUGAAAGGUCCACUGUAGCUAGGCCCAGCUCUGCAAAUGCAACACUCUAAUCUUGCUUGUUUUUUUAACUGACCCAGAAUGAUCAGCUUUUAUAGACUGACAUUGGCCAAAUACCCACAAAACUGACUUAAAAUACCAAUUUAUUAAUUUACAGUGAUAAAUGUAACUCCCAAAGGCUCAGAGUGGCUCUUGAGCAUGACCAGAUCAUUCUUUCCUCUGGAGAAAAUGUUAUGUGGUAAUCUAAAUUAUAUUUAAAGGGCAGCUUGGUGAGUUCAGCGUCACACAAUGCUAAUAGGAUGUACCACCCAACUCCAUUUCCAGGAACAAUUCUUAGAGAGGAUAGGAGGGAAUGUUAUUUGCUCAGUGCUGACACUGUGGUAAAUUAGCCCCCUGGUGUUUUUCUAGAAUUGAGAUAUAUCGUCACACCCCUUAAUGAUAAGGCAAUAACAUUUUAAAUAUGUAUUCAACAUGUAUUGAAUAGAAAACAGCAUUCUUUUCCUGAAAAAAAAAAACAAAGUACUACAAAAUACCCUAAUGACUUUAACAGGACUUAGGGAGAAUGUCCAGGGCCUUUGACUGAAUUUGGGAGACAUCCUGCAUCUUCUCUAUGACAACAGGAAAAUACAAUUGCUUCUUGGGCAACACACAAAUUAGACUCCACCUAGAAGGAGUCUGGUGGAUGAGCAGAUGACAUGGACACGCAGAUGACAGUUCUGUGGAUGAACAAAUGACAUGCUCAUUCAUAGUGUGCUCUCUUCUUGUAUUCACCUUCAGAAAGUGACAUAUUCUGACCUUGCUCCCCAAUGUGGAACUGUGCACUGCUAUGCCUGACUGCUGUGUGCCGUUUUGCCACGAUACCGGCCAAGAGUAGAGGCAAGAUGCUCCAUAGCCACAAAUGCUCCUUGUGCUGAUGAAACAUCUUUCCCAACAGAAUAAUUUUGGUUCAAUAAUAAAAUGAAGGGGGUUCUAGAGGAUCUUUCAUGGCCAGCAAGAUAGAAGAGGUGUUUUAACCCAGUAUCUACUCAAGAAGUGGCAUAAAAGGAGUUGAGACAAUUUGCCAACCUAUUCAGGAUAAUAAGUAAGAUUUUCAUUUAAGGAAUAACUUACUAAAGUCAAAUGUAUAAUUGUGGAAAUCCUCUCAGUUUCCCCAUCUCCUUUCCCAAUAUCUAAAAGAUAUGGAGAAAUAAAUUAUUUUUUAUUAAUAAUAAUAAAUUAUUUUUUAUUUUUGUCCCUGAGUGAAUAAAUUUGUUCAUGGGAAAUUUCUUCUAUUCAACAAUGAUAGCAAUAACUGAUAGUUACAGAGCACUUGGUAUUUUUUCUCAGAUAUUGCACCAAGAACUAGAAGAAAUCUUCACAACUAUUUCAUGAGUUAAGUACUGUGACUGGCUGUAGCAGGCAUUAGGGUGAGAAAAUUGGGCAAGCUGCUUAACUUCUAUGGGCCUCAAGUUCACACAGCUUGUAAGUGCAGCGCUAUUGCUUAAGCCCAGGGCAUAUGACCAUAGAUCCUGCCUUCUUAAUUACUAAGAUAUGCCUCCUCAAAAUUUCAAACUAUAAAUACUUGUGUAAUUUGGCCUAACCCAUUAUGGCCAUUAAUAUUGCCUCUAUAAACUUGAUUACCAUGCUGAAGUUUUUUAUUCCUUUUUCCUUCAUGAAAAAUAAGGCAAAUGUAAAAUUAGAACAACCUCCUGUUCUGUUUCUCAGUGAAUGACUUUAUUAUCAUCUCAGCCAAUAUUGAAAUCCCCAUUCCAAAAAAAAAAAAUAAGAUCUCCACCACCCACAUUACCUUCAUUGUUAAUAUUUAUAACAUGUGGUGAAAGAGUUUAGAAAUAAACUUCAUUGUUCCAACAAAAAUUUAAAAUCUUCCAAAUUGGCUAAGGGGCUCUACUUCCAUAA